This 402-nucleotide ribosomal RNA is filed under the name uncultured bacterium. Its description in RNAcentral is "bacterial SSU rRNA". It matches the Rfam family "Bacterial small subunit ribosomal RNA", at positions 917 to 1322 of the family's 1533-position model. The record is from RNAcentral.
GGGCCCGCACAAGCGGUGGAGCAUGUGGUUUAAUUCGAUGAUACGCGAGGAACCUUACCAGGGCUUAAAUGUAAGUUGCAUAGAUCAGAGAUGGUCUUUUCUUCGGACUACUUACAAGGUGCUGCAUGGUUGUCGUCAGCUCGUGCCGUGAGGUGUCAGGUUAAGUCCUAUAACGAGCGCAACCCCUGUCGUUAGUUACCAGCAAGUAAUGUUGGGUACUCUAGCGAGACUGCCGGUGCAAACCGUGAGGAAGGUGGGGAUGACGUCAAAUCAUCACGGCCCUUACGUCCUGGGCUACACACGUGCUACAAUGGCCGGUACAGAGAGCAGCCACUACGCGAGUAGGAGCGAAUCUUCAAAGCCGGUCGUAGUCCGGAUUGGGGUCUGCAACUCGACCCCAUG